This 778-nucleotide ribosomal RNA is filed under the name uncultured Lentibacter sp. RNAcentral's name for it is "bacterial SSU rRNA". It matches the Rfam family "Bacterial small subunit ribosomal RNA", at positions 40 to 865 of the family's 1533-position model. The record is from RNAcentral. Lineage: Bacteria; Pseudomonadati; Pseudomonadota; Alphaproteobacteria; Rhodobacterales; Roseobacteraceae.
CGGCAGGCCUAACACAUGCAAGUCGAGCGCUACCUUCGGGUGGAGCGGCGGACGGGUUAGUAACGCGUGGGAACGUACCCAGAUCUAAGGAAUAGCCACUGGAAACGGUGAGUAAUACCUUAUACGCCCUUCGGGGGAAAGAUUUAUCGGAUUUGGAUCGGCCCGCGUUAGAUUAGAUAGUUGGUGGGGUAAUGGCCUACCAAGUCUACGAUCUAUAGCUGGUUUUAGAGGAUGAUCAGCAACACUGGGACUGAGACACGGCCCAGACUCCUACGGGAGGCAGCAGUGGGGAAUCUUGGACAAUGGGCGCAAGCCUGAUCCAGCCAUGCCGCGUGAGUGAUGAAGGCCUUAGGGUCGUAAAGCUCUUUCGCCAGAGAUGAUAAUGACAGUAUCUGGUAAAGAAACCCCGGCUAACUCCGUGCCAGCAGCCGCGGUAAUACGGAGGGGGUUAGCGUUGUUCGGAAUUACUGGGCGUAAAGCGUACGUAGGCGGAUUAGUCAGUCAGAGGUGAAAUCCCAGGGCUCAACCCUGGAACUGCCUUUGAUACUGCUAGUCUUGAGUUCGAGAGAGGUGAGUGGAAUUCCAAGUGUAGAGGUGAAAUUCGUAGAUAUUUGGAGGAACACCAGUGGCGAAGGCGGCUCACUGGCUCGAUACUGACGCUGAGGUACGAAAGUGUGGGGAGCAAACAGGAUUAGAUACCCUGGUAGUCCACACCGUAAACGAUGAAUGCCAGUCGUCGGGCAGUAUACUGUUCGGUGACACACCUAACGGAUUAAGC